Molecule: long non-coding RNA, 678 nt
Filed under: Helianthus annuus (common sunflower)
Lineage: Eukaryota; Viridiplantae; Streptophyta; Magnoliopsida; Asterales; Asteraceae
Description: hypothetical non coding rna
Source: RNAcentral
UGUGUGUAUUGAUAAGGAAACUAUUAUAUAAAGAAUUUGAUACCACAAGUAUUAACCAACUUAAUAAACCUCAGUUGCUGACAUUGCCAUUGUUGUCACAGUAGGUAGCAUUGACAUUUUCAUUAUUAACGUUCCCAAUAGAGCCGCCACCGUUGCCACCACCCAUGAUCGACGAUAUUGCCGUCGCCAGGGCGGCAGUAAAGUUCGGAUCCGCCGUGAGGGCAGUUACGGUGUCAGCCAAAGCAGCAUGUGGAGGCCCUUGUGGAUGAAUAUUUUGAGACAUUUGAAGCCCUGAGAAUUUAGAGUGAUUGUUUAAAGGCUGCCCGAAAAACUGGGGCAAUGAGCUCGAGUUCAAAAAGGGUAGUUGGAGUUGAUCACGUUGAAAGUGUAACGGGUUUGGAGUUUGAGUGAGGUCUAGUGUGACUGUUGGAAAUGGGGCGGAUGCUGAAAUGCUAGUCAUGUUAGAUGAGUAUGGAAAGAGAGUUGUUGAUAAAUAAUUUGAAUUCGUGACGCCGUCAGAACUCGGCAUGGAGCCGGAGAGGAGCAUCUGGGCAGCGGAAGAGGUGGUGGAGGCCAUCGCCAUAGCGGCGGGCGGGAGAGGAUUACUUGUUUUCUAACGGGGCAUCCGACAGCCAUGGUGCACCGGUAAUAUGCCCGCGGACAUGGGUUUCCUUUCGC